Molecule: long non-coding RNA, 769 nt
Organism: Pantherophis guttatus
Lineage: Eukaryota; Metazoa; Chordata; Lepidosauria; Squamata; Colubridae
Source: RefSeq, a predicted model, not a curated record
CCCCCCGUCCGUCUCGUCAGCACUAGCUAAAGCACAACGCAUGCGCGGAUUCGGAGGCUGGAGGAAGGAGCGGCCAGCAGAGAGCAUGACGGGAAGCGUAGGCAGAGUUGAGUCCUGCAACUGAGUGGAGCUGAGUGUUUACUCGCCAGAUGCCCUUCCUGACACCCAUGUGGAGUUCAUAGCAGAGGUCUUUGCGCCCUGAUAAGAGAAAAAUCUGCCGUUGUCUAGGAUUGAACUUUCAACUUUCGGAGUGGGAGGAGAGCGCCUUCAUCUCUAGGCCACCAUGCCACUCAACUGUAGAAUCUUAGAUAAUGAUUAUAUUUCUAGAUAUGUUAUUCAAUACACGCUUAGAAAAUAAACCACAGAAUUGGUGCAGAUAGUUUCUUCAAAGCAAAAAAUUAUAACCUAUUGUUUUUAUGCAACAAGCCAGCUUUCGCUCCAUUUGAAAUGUACAUGAUAAACACAGUAAUUAAUAAAUCAGAUACUGCUACAGUUGUUAUUCUUGUCCCAGGGAGCUACACUUUCAUUCUUAGAACUGAAUUGUAUGACCUUUUAAAAUUCAUGAAAUCAUAUACUUGUAUUUAUUUUACACAUUUAAAUUAAAAAAAAUAUCAAUUUAGUAAAUGUGAUUAUUUGGAAGAUUUGGUGAGAUAUCCUAUCUGGAAUCUGCCUAAUAUUAACCAUAGUCUUACUUUGUACCACACAAUAUAAUUGCUGCAACUCUAAUUAAGGUUGUCAAAUAAAACAAUAAAAGAAUUCGGUAGGAUUG